RNAcentral lists this ribosomal RNA (468 nucleotides) under uncultured bacterium. RNAcentral describes it as "partial 16S ribosomal RNA". It matches the Rfam family "Bacterial small subunit ribosomal RNA", at positions 28 to 507 of the family's 1533-position model. The record is from RNAcentral.
GACGAACGCUGGCGGCGUGCUUAACACAUGCAAGUCGAACGGAAAGGCCCUGCUUUUGUGGGGUGCUCGAGUGGCGAACGGUUGAGUAACACGUGAGUAACCUGCCCUUGACUUUGGGAUAACUUCAGGAAACUGGGGCUAAUACCGGAUAGGAGCUCCUGCUGCAUGGUGGGGGUUGGAAAGUUUCGGCGGUUGGGGAUGGACUCGCGGCUUAUCAGCUUGUUGGUGGGGUAGUGGCUUACCAAGGCUUUGACGGGUAGCCGGCCUGAGAGGGUGACCGGCCACAUUGGGACUGAGAUACGGCCCAGACUCCUACGGGAGGCAGCAGUGGGGAAUAUUGCACAAUGGGCGGAAGCCUGAUGCAGCAACGCCGCGUGCGGGAUGACGGCCUUCGGGUUGUAAACCGCUUUCGCCCGUGACGAAGCGUGAGUGACGGUAAUGGGUAAAGAAGCACCGGCUAACUACGUG